CAGGGACUCUACAAGGUGUUGAAAGCCUUCCACAGGGACUCUACAAGGUGUUAAAAGCCUUCCACAGGGACUCUACAAGGUGUUAAAAGCCUUCCACAGGGACUCUACAAGGUGUUAAAAGCCUUCCACAGGGACUCUACAAGGUGUUGAAAGCCUUCCACAGGGAUACUGGUCCAUGUUGACUCCAAUACUUCCCACAGUUGUGUCAAGUUGGCUGGAUGUCCUUUGGGUGGUGGACCAUACUUGAUACACACAGGGAAACUGUUCAGCGUGAAAACUCCAGCAGCGUUGCAGUUCUUGACACACCCCAUUUAAAAGGCACUUAAAUAUUGAUUUCUUGCCCGUUCACCCUCUGAAUGGCACACGAACACAAUCCAUGUCUCAAUUGUCUCAACUCUUAAAAAGACCUUUCACCUGACUCCUCCCCUUCAUCUACACUGAUUGAAGUGGAUUUAACAA
This is a long non-coding RNA of Oncorhynchus tshawytscha (Chinook salmon), 459 nucleotides long. The record is from Ensembl. NCBI's taxonomy places the organism in Eukaryota, Metazoa, Chordata, Actinopteri, Salmoniformes, Salmonidae.